Molecule: long non-coding RNA, 758 nt
Organism: Ornithodoros turicata
Lineage: Eukaryota; Metazoa; Arthropoda; Arachnida; Ixodida; Argasidae
Exons: 3
Source: RefSeq, a predicted model, not a curated record
CGCAUGAGUACGAACGCCUUCUCACGAUCUCCAUGCGCUGCAAAAAUAUUUCGCGUGAUUCCGAAUACCAGUCAAUAAAUUCCCUUAUGCAGCAGUGCCGUAAUGGAUCAGCGCUAUCAUUCCAUCAAAGAAGUGCAAUAACUAGAACCCGUGACCGUGAGGGAUCGCACGUUUGGGAAGAAUGCGUUUCUUGCAACCGCUGGCAAAUCAGUUUGUUUUGAAACGUCGGGGAGCGAGGACGAGUCAGCUCGGUCUUUGAAGAAACUCGUUCGACGCUUUGAAGACUGGAGCCAUUUAAGUGGUCCUGAACAGCGACAGGCUGGACACAACGACUGAGGGACGGAGACAACGAACUUUGCGCUUCAUGCACAAACAUUGAUGCGUGAAUUAGAGAAGCCUAGAUUGCACUUUAUACCUGGAUUACUCAAGCAAGUUACGUCCCGGCGAUGUCGUAAAUGGGUGAGUCAAUCAUCAUCCUGUGGUUGGGGUCAAAAAUAAAGUUGUUGUUAUUUGUGGUUUGUGUUACGUUCUGCGGAAGAAACGGAAGUUGGGGAAGAACAGCAAUCCAAAGGUGUGGAAGAGAUAAAGAAGCGUGACCACGGAGCAGCUGCAAUGGUGAAGGAGAGAUGCAGUGGUCAGCGUUCAUCCAUGUGCGUUGUGCCCCGUGUGUUCGGCGUUUGUGCAUCAUGAUAAUGCACGCUCGCGAUGGACAAGCAUCACCCCUUAAAUGGAUGUAAUUUUCGAAUAAAGGUAUUUGU